This 504-nucleotide ribosomal RNA is filed under the name Bacillus subtilis. RNAcentral describes it as "bacterial SSU rRNA". It matches the Rfam family "Bacterial small subunit ribosomal RNA", at positions 39 to 526 of the family's 1533-position model. The record is from RNAcentral. Lineage: Bacteria; Bacillati; Bacillota; Bacilli; Caryophanales; Bacillaceae.
GCCGGGGGGAGCUAUAAUGCAGUCGAGCGGACAGAUGGGAGCUUGCUCCCUGAUGUUAGCGGCGGACGGGUGAGUAACACGUGGGUAACCUGCCUGUAAGACUGGGAUAACUCCGGGAAACCGGGGCUAAUACCGGAUGGUUGUUUGAACCGCAUGGUUCAAACAUAAAAGGUGGCUUCGGCUACCACUUACAGAUGGACCCGCGGCGCAUUAGCUAGUUGGUGAGGUAACGGCUCACCAAGGCGACGAUGCGUAGCCGACCUGAGAGGGUGAUCGGCCACACUGGGACUGAGACACGGCCCAGACUCCUACGGGAGGCAGCAGUAGGGAAUCUUCCGCAAUGGACGAAAGUCUGACGGAGCAACGCCGCGUGAGUGAUGAAGGUUUUCGGAUCGUAAAGCUCUGUUGUUAGGGAAGAACAAGUACCGUUCGAAUAGGGCGGUACCUUGACGGUACCUAACCAGAAAGCCACGGCUAACUACGUGCCAGAGCCCCCGGUAAAAA